AACCUAUGGACGGGGAUAACCUCGGGAAACUGAGAACAUACCCGAUAGAUCAUCAUGCCUGGAAUGGCCGAUGGUUGAAAUGAUUUAUCGCCAUAGGAUGGGACUGCGAUCUAUCAGCUUGUUGGUGAGGUAAUGGCCCACCAAGGCUAUAACAGAUACGGGCUCUGAGAGGAGAAGCCCGGAGAUGGGUACUGAGACACGGACCCAGGCCCUAUGGGGCGCAGCAGGCGAGAAAACUUUGCAAUGUGCGAAAGCACGACAAGGUUAAUCCGAGUGGUUCCUGCUAAAGGAACCUUUUGCCGGUCCUAAAAACACCGGUGAAUAAGGGGUGGGCAAGUUCUGGUGUCAGCCGCCGCGGUAAAACCAGCACCUCAAGUGGUCAGGAGGAUUAUUGGGCCUAAAGCAUCCGUAGCCGGCUGUGUAAGUUUUCGGUUAAAUCCAUGCGCUCAACGUAUGGGCUGCCGGGAAUACUGCACAGCUAGGGAGUGGGAGAGGUAGACGGUACUCGGUAGGGAGGGGUAAAAUCCACUGAUCUAUCGAUGACCACCUGUGGCGAAGGCGGUCUACUAGAACACGUCCGACGGUGAGGGAUGAAAGCUGGGGG
This 604-nucleotide ribosomal RNA is filed under the name uncultured crenarchaeote. Its description in RNAcentral is "bacterial SSU rRNA". It matches the Rfam family "Archaeal small subunit ribosomal RNA", at positions 111 to 717 of the family's 1478-position model. The record is from RNAcentral. Lineage: Archaea; Thermoproteati; Thermoproteota.